Molecule: ribosomal RNA, 253 nt
Filed under: uncultured bacterium
Lineage: Bacteria
Description: partial 16S ribosomal RNA
Rfam family: Bacterial small subunit ribosomal RNA
Source: RNAcentral
UACGAAGGGGGCUAGCGUUGCUCGGAAUUACUGGGCGUAAAGCGCACGUAGGCGGCUUUCUAAGUCGGGGGUGAAAUCCUGGAGCUCAACUCCAGAACUGCCUUUGAUACUGAAGAUCUUGAGUGCGGGAGAGGUGAGUGGAACUGCGAGUGUAGAGGUGAAAUUCGUAGAUAUUCGCAAGAACACCAGUGGCGAAGGCGGCUCACUGGCCCGAUACUGAUGCUGAGGCACGAAAGCGUGGGGAGCAAACAGG